Nicotiana tabacum (common tobacco) is the source of this 3916-nucleotide non-coding RNA. Lineage: Eukaryota; Viridiplantae; Streptophyta; Magnoliopsida; Solanales; Solanaceae. The record is from RefSeq and is a predicted model, not a curated record.
CAAUGUUCCCCUCGUUUUUUAAUCCAUUCCUUUUUUUUCUUUUUCCCAAACCCCCUUCUCAUUUUCAGCUACCCCUCUUUCCCCCGUUCUCAGAAACCCUUUAAUUUUCCCAUCUAGCCAUUCACAAUAAUCGGUCCUCUACAAUAACCCUUUCAUUUCAGCAUCUCUCAGCGAAAUCCAUGUAAUAACUUCAGAUCUAUCUAUCAAUUGGACUAGCAGAAAUUUGGUGGAAUCGGUGUAAUUUGAAGAAGGAUAUAACACUAUUUGUUGAAACCGAGAUAACUCCUGGGGACCUUUAGAGAAGACACAAUUGUCAGUGGCCGCAUUUCCUCUUUCUGCUCUGCGUUAUGUUUGAAUCAGUCUCAAGGUUAUAGUAAACACUCUUGCUCAGAGAAAUCCUUAUCGGUUGAUCACUUCUGAAAGGUUAUAUCAAUACCUUCCAAUGGAUAAAUCUUGGAUUGGAAUGCCUAGAAAUACAAUAAAGUAUUUACUUGGUUUGAAUUAAUUUUUAAAUUUUGCAUUUAAUAAUGCUUCUAUAGGAGAUAGAAUAAAAUGUUCGUGUCCUAAAUGUGGUUUUGGAAAGUGGCAGACUAGAGAGAUAGUGUAAGAUCAUUUGAUUAGCAAGCCAUUCCCUCAAAAUUAUGUCACAUGGAUUCUUCAUGGGAAACAGAAGUGUUCGAGAAUUCUAGAAGCACAGAAGUUAUCCCAUAUGCACUGCCUCCUGAAAAUCCUACGGAAUUGUUGAUAAAUGAAGCAUUCCUGGGUUUAAGGCAUGAGGGCAUUGAUGCAGGUCCAUCACAAGUAGUUGGAGAAGAAGAAAUAUUAAAUAAUCUGCAUUCUUGAAAUAACAAAGAAUUUUUCGAGUUGCUUAGAGAUGGAAGUGAAGAAUUAUACGAAGGGUCCAAGUACUCGAAGCUAGAAUUUUUGUUAAAGUUGUAUCACAUAAAGUGUUUGUCUGGGCUAAGUGACAAGGGAAUGACUAUGAUGCUAGAUUUACUGAAGGAUGCACUUGGAUUUGCAAGGAUACCUAAUUCUUUUUAUGAGGUCAAGAAUACCAUCAAAAGGCUUUAUCUUGAUUAUAUCAAGAUAGAUGCUUGUCCAAACGAUUGCAUGUUGUACUGGGGAGAUGAUGCUAAUGAGGAAACAUGCAAGCAUUGUCAUACUUCUAGAUGGAAGCCAACUAAGAAGAGCAACAAUAAUCACAUGUCUACCACGGGAAAGAAGAAAAAGAAGCAAAAGAUGCCCGCAAAAUUUUUGCGUUACUUUCCACUAAAAUCAAGGUUGUAGAGAUUGUUCAUAUGCUCUAAAAUUGCAGAGCAUAUGAGAUGGCAUGUGAAAGAUAGUAACAAAGAUGGAAUCAUGAGGCAUCCCAGAGAUGGUGAGAUGAGAUGGUGAGACAUGGAAGAGAUUUGAUUGCUUUUACUGAAUUUGCUUCUGAUCCUAGAAAUGUUCGAUUAGCCCUAGCUAGUGAUGGUUUCAAUCCUUUUGGGAUGAUGAGUACUAAUUAUAGCAUUUGGCCAGUGAUUUUGGUUCCAUAUAACUUUCCACCUUGGUUGUGUAUGAAGCAACCAAAUUUUAUCCUCUCAAUGAUCAUUCCAGGUCCACAUAUAACGGGGAAUAAUAUAGAUAUAUCCCUACAAUCGCUUAUUAAGGAGUUGAAUGAGUUGUGGUGUGAAGGUGUGGAAACUUUUGAUUCAUCAAAGAAUGAAAUGUUUAGAAUGCGAGUAGCUCUUAUGUAGACAGUUAGCGACUUUCCUGGACUUGAAAUUUUAUCCGGUUGGAACACAUAUAGCGAUUUUGCUUGUCCAUCUUGUAAUUUUAACACAGAACCUUGCCGACUUCGUUAUAGUAUAAAAUGGUGCUUUAUUGGUCAUUGCCGGUUUUUGGCAAGAAAUCAUAAAUUUAUAUUGAUGAUGCUUCAUUUGUUUGGCAAUACGGAAGAGAGAAAACCUCCAAGGAAGUUAACUGGGUCAGAUAUUUUGAAUCAGUGGAGGAAUUUGAUGUUACAUUUGGAAAACUAGCAGAAUUAAAUGAAAGAAAGAAAAGAAAUCGACAAAAAGGUACUGAGGAAAGUGCAACUCAACAAUGGAGAAAAAAAAGCAUAUUCUUCUAUCUUCCAUAUUGGGAAUUCAACUUGUUGCGCCAUAAUUUAGACGUUAUGCAUAUUGAGAAGAAUGUAUUUGAUAAUAUUAUAUGCACUUUGCUACAUGAAAAGAUCUACAAGAUAUGGGUAUAAGGCGUGAUCUUUGGCCAGAUGAGAAUGAGAAUUGUCGGUUUGAUUUAUUUGCAAUUCCAAAAAAAUAAAAGAGUCAGACUUUCUCAAAACUUUAAAAAAUAUCUCGGUGCCGGAUGGUUACUCAAGUAAUAUCUCUCGUUGUGUUGAUCUAGAUAAAAAGAGGAUAUUUGGACUCAAAAGCCAUGAUUGUUAUAUCAUUAUGGAACAAUUGUUACCCAUAGCAAUUCGAAAUGUGCUUCCAAAUCAUGUUGUUGCAGCCUUGGUAGAGCUUUCAUCCCUUUUUAGACAACUUUGUUCGAAAAGCUUGAGCUUCUCGGACCUAGAAAAUCUACAAGACCCGAUUGUACUCACACUUUGCCAUUUAGAGAUGUUGUUCCCUACAUCCUUUUUUACUGUAAUGAUUCAUUUAACUGUCCAUCUAGUGGAUGAAUUAAUACAAGGUGGACGGUACAUUAUCGGUGGGUGUAUUUUGUUGAAAGGUAAAACAUUACUUAUUCAACAUAAUUUCCAUCGAUUUUAUAAUAAUAAUUCAAAGUAAAUACUUAUUCUAGUACCUUUUUAUUUUGGUUAUAGAUUGCUAGGUCAUUUCAAGUCCUUUAUAGGGAAGCACAACCAGAAGGUUCCAUAGCUGAGGGUUACAUUGUUGAAGAAGCCCCAACUUUUUUUUCUCGUUAUUUUGAGGAUAUUGAGUCGAGGGUAAAUAGGCCUAAAUGUGUAAAUGAUGGACCAAAUCUUAACGAGGCUUCUGAAAUGUCAUCUACAUUCCCUACACAAGGUAAACCCGUCAAAGGUUCUGAAGCAUUCACCUUGACUCAACUUGAGAAGACUCAAGCUCAUCGAUAUGUGUUACUUAAUUGUGCAACAAUAAAGCCAUUUAUUAGGUAAGAAAAAUAAAUUAAUUUAAUUUUUUACAAAAACUUUGAGUGAAGUGAAUAAAAUUAAUACAAUUAACUCCUUUGUAGUGAAUUUAGGGAUUGCAUAAGAAGGAGUUCAAGAGGCUAGAGACCUUCAGCAACCGAAGUAGAAAGGAGAGUUAAUAAAGAGUUUCCUGAUUGGUUUCCAAAGCGAGUGAGUGAAAAUGCUUGUCUAUGAUUAAUUAACUUUCUUGUUUUAAUUUUGAAUAUUUGACAAAAAGAAUUUUGUCUAUUUGGAUUAUGAAUCCGAAUAUAACAAACACAAUCUUUACUGAUUUGGAGUUUCUAGCACAAGGUCGAUGUCCAGAUGUGAGAAGGUUCACUGCUUAUAACAUUAAUGGAUUCAAAUUUCAGACAUUUUCUAGAGAACAAGGAUCACAAACUCAAAAUAAUGGAGUUUUUCUUAUCUCUGGCACCUCUUGUAUUGCAUCCAACGCUGACAGAAAUGCGAGGCAAGCAGACUUGCCAUAUUAUGGGAAGUUGGAAGAUAUUAUUGAGCUUAAUUAUUAUGGUUAGUUUAAGGUUGUGCUCUUCAAGUGCCAGUGGGCUGACAUUAAUCGAGAUAGAGGGUUCAAAAGAGAUGCUUGAAAUUUUAAUCGUGUUAAUUUUUCUAGAUUGAUUCACACUGGUGAUCGUGAGGAGCAUGAUCCUUAUAUUAAAGUAUCUCAAGCAAAUAUGGUGUACUGUGUUAAUGAUGAAACUGAUUGUCACGCCCCAACCUCGGGAGGCGCGACCGGCGCUCAAUCGAGUGAACCCAACUGAGCAA